CCUACGGGUGGCAGCAGUGGGGGAUAUUGCACAAUGGGGGGAACCCUGAUGCAGCGACGCCGCGUGGGUGAAGAAGCGCCUCGGCGCGUAAAGCCCUGUCAGCAGGGGAGAAAAUGACGGUACCCGACGAAGAAGCCCCGGCUAACAACGUGCCAGCAGCCGCGGUAAUACGGAGGGGGCAAGCGUGAUCCGGAUUUACUGGGUGUAAAGGGGGCGCAGACGGGGUUGCAAGUCAGGAGUGAAAGCCCGGGGCCCAACCCCCGGACUGCUCUUGGAACUGCGUGGCGGGAGUGCAGGAGGGGCAGGCGGAAUGCCUGGUGUAGCGGUGAAAUGCGUAGAUAUCAGGAGGAACACCGGUGGCGAAGGCGGCCUGCUGGACUGCAACUGACGUUGAGGCACGAAAGCGUGGGGAGCAAACAGGAUUAGAUACCCGAGUAGUC
This 440-nucleotide ribosomal RNA is filed under the name uncultured bacterium. Its description in RNAcentral is "partial 16S ribosomal RNA". It matches the Rfam family "Bacterial small subunit ribosomal RNA", at positions 338 to 795 of the family's 1533-position model. The record is from RNAcentral.